UUGGGCAGCUGGGCUAACUGCAGUAGACGCUGAAGGAGGAGCUUGCUUCUCUGGAUGAGUUGCGAACGGGUGAGUAACGCGUAGGUAACCUGCCUGGUAGCGGGGGAUAACUAUUGGAAACGAUAGCUAAUACCGCAUAAUAGCAGUUGUUGCAUGACAGCUGUUUGAAAGGUGCAAUUGCACCACUACCAGAUGGACCUGCGUUGUAUUAGCUAGUUGGUGGGGUAACGGCUCACCAAGGCGACGAUACAUAGCCGACCUGAGAGGGUGAUCGGCCACACUGGGACUGAGACACGGCCCAGACUCCUACGGGAGGCAGCAGUAGGGAAUCUUCGGCAAUGGACGGAAGUCUGACCGAGCAACGCCGCGUGAGUGAAGAAGGUUUUCGGAUCGUAAAGCUCUGUUGUAAGGGAAGAACGAGUGUGAGAGUGGAAAGUUCACACUGUGACGGUAUCUUACCAGAAAGGGACGGCUAACUACGUGCCAGCAGCCGCGGUAAUACGUAGGUCCCGAGCGUUGUCCGGAUUUAUUGGGCGUAAAGCGAGCGCAGGCGGUUAGAUAAGUCUGAAGUUAAAGGCUGUGGCUUAACCAUAGUACGCUUUGGAAACUGUUUAACUUGAGUGCAAGAGGGGAGAGUGGAAUUCCAUGUGUAGCGGUGAAAUGCGUAGAUAUAUGGAGGAACACCGGUGGCGAAAGCGGCUCUCUGGCUUGUAACUGACGCUGAGGCUCGAAAGCGUGUGGAGCAAACAGGAUUAGAUACCCUGGUAGUCCACGCCGUAAACGAUGAGUGCUAGGUGUUAGACCCUUUCCGGGGUUUAGUGCCGCAGCUAACGCAUUAAGCACUCCGCCU
This 850-nucleotide ribosomal RNA is filed under the name uncultured marine bacterium. RNAcentral describes it as "bacterial SSU rRNA". It matches the Rfam family "Bacterial small subunit ribosomal RNA", at positions 36 to 874 of the family's 1533-position model. The record is from RNAcentral.